Molecule: transfer RNA, 67 nt
Filed under: Goggia lineata
Lineage: Eukaryota; Metazoa; Chordata; Lepidosauria; Squamata; Gekkonidae
Description: tRNA-Cys
Source: RNAcentral
GAAGCCCCGGCACCUUUUGGGGUGCUUCUCCAGACUUGCAAUCUGGCGUGUAUCGUACACUCCGGGG